UUUCCGUAGGUGAACCUGCGGAAGGAUCAUUCAUAAUAAGUGUUUUAUGGCACUUUUUUAAAUCCAUAUCCACCUUGUGUGCAAUGUCAGGGUUGAUUUUUCUCUCGAGAGGAUCGGCCCCAAACAUCAACUAUAUCUCAACUCUUUGUCUGAAAAAUAUUAUAAAUAAAACAAUUCAAAAUACAACUUUCAACAACGGAUCUCUUGGCUCUC
This 213-nucleotide unclassified non-coding RNA is filed under the name plant metagenome. RNAcentral describes it as "partial contains small subunit ribosomal RNA, internal transcribed spacer 1, and 5.8S ribosomal RNA". The record is from RNAcentral.